AAGGAGCUGCCCCGGACAGAUGACGCGGCCUCUUGAGCCAGGCCCGCAUGCCCGAGCUGCUCUCCCCUGCGGGGCAGUGUGUGGUCACAGGCAAACGUGUUUUCUUGAACGCUUACAGCAGCUGUGAAGAGCAGAUCCUGCCCUGUCCGGCCUGCACACCUUUGCCUGGGCCUGCCCACCAUCUGGAAUCUCCUUCCCAACCGGCUGCCCCAUUGUUGAAAUCCUACUUGUUGGGUAGAAGGAACGAAUGGCUGGAUGGUUUGAGGGUGGGCCUGGGAGGAGCUGGCCUGCGUGCAGCAGAGGUUUCCAGAGAGGAAGCGCUGGCCCAUGAGUCAGGGGUAUGGCCAGAGGCCCCGGGGGUGCUUCGGGGGGUUAGUCAUCCGGGCGAGCGGCAGACAGGCACCCAUCGAGAGGGCUGUUCCACCCCCGCACUUGAGAUGGGAAAACAGCGGUGCCCAGGGUGCAUGAGUCACUUCCUCCCUGGGACACACCCCCUCCGUGGGAGGGGCGCCAGCUCCUGCUAGCACUGGGGGCCGUGCGUCUCCACGGGGCUGUGCAGUUGGGCUUCCCUGAAUCGCUCACAUCACCUCACUGGAGCCCACGGGGCACCUGGGGCUCCGUGACAUCAGGCUGAGUACGGGAUGCCGCCACCAAAAACAGAUGUGAAGCAAGAAUAAAGUUAUUUGGGUUCACUUUAAAAGUAAACUAGGAUCUUUAGAGAAAAUUGAGAUAAAAUAGUGAAAUAAAGGAAAGAGAAAUAAUUGACCCAGAGACAACCUCUUCUGCC
This is a long non-coding RNA of Aethalodelphis obliquidens (Pacific white-sided dolphin), 787 nucleotides long. RefSeq lists it as uncharacterized. The record is from RefSeq and is a predicted model, not a curated record. Lineage: Eukaryota; Metazoa; Chordata; Mammalia; Artiodactyla; Delphinidae. The transcript has 3 exons.